AUUUCAGGAAUUGGAGAUGCCCCUGUGGCUGAGGAGGAGCUGGGGCUGGGGCCGGGGCCAGGGCCGGGGCUCUGACCUGCCACUCUGCCCCACAUUAAGGGCAGAGACCGAAGAGGUGGCUGCCUGGACCUUGGAGCCCCAGGGUGGGCGGCCACCUUGGCCAGGACUCGGGCGCCCCCUUACAGAAGGCUGUGCUCACCCCUUCUUUUCUCGCCCCUGCUCUGUGCUGCAUUUGGAAAGAACCUAAAUGUCCUCCCUCUGAAGACUGGUUAAACAUCUGGUUAUGAUCCAGUGCUCACGUUUCUGGAAUCCGUUCCUUUGGCUGUGCCACUUGUGAUCCCUUCUGCUCCAACGUUUGCCUGGGGAGCUCAUUAGGUAGCCAGGACCCUGGGCCACUGCACCCCACCAGGACGGCAGGACUGAAAAGGCCACUGACCUGCUCAUCUGACACCUGAGGGCCGCUGGAGACCCAGGGACACUCCUGCUGCGGCUCAUGUUUGGAAGCUGUCCGGAGGCGGGACUUCCUCUUCCUCCAGGGGCCGCCGUCCGGAGGCGGGACUUCCUCUUCCUCGGGGACAACUGUCUUUUUCUCUUAAGGCCUUGGACUGCCUGGAUGAGGCUAUAAUAUGGUCAGUACUCUGCUCUACCCAAAGUCUCCUGAUUGAAAUAUUAACCUCAUCCAAGAAACACCCUCACAGCGACGUCUACACUGGUGUUUGACCAAAUAGCUGGGGACCGUGGCCUGGUCGAGCUGACACAAAAGUAACCAUCACAGCUGCUGCUAUGGUCUGAAUGUUGAUGUCACCCCCAGAUUCAUUUGUUAGAACUUAAGCCCCAAGGCGAUGGCAUCACUGGUGGGCUUUGGGAGAUGAGGAGGAUAUGAAUGGGACCAGUAGCCUCAUAAGAGUUUUGAGGGUCCUGGUUGCCCUUCCCCACCCUCCCGUCCCUGCCACUGGGUGAGGACACAGCAAGAAGCCGCCGUCCUGGGAGCAGAGAGCAGAAAGCAGCCCUCACCAGACGCUGAAUCUGCUGGGGCCUCGGUCCUGGACGUCCCAGCCUCCAGAACUGAGCGAUGAAAUUCUGGUUACAAAUUGCCCCCUCUGAGGUAUUUUGUUUUAGCAGAAGGAACAGACGAGGAUGACCACCGAGGCCCUUCUCAGGCUGCCGCGGGUCUCCAGGAUGGGGACAGUCAGCUGGGGCCAACCGAGCUGCAUGUGGUCAAGGGCCCAUGCAUGUGACCAGGGCCCGCCUCCCACGUCACCCAGUGCACCCUCAGCAUGGGACACGGACCUAGACACUGCCGGGGUCUCCGUCCUUGCAGGCACUGCCAGGCGCCCCUCCCUGGGAGAAGCUGCAGCUCUGAGGCUACGGUCUUGCAGGUCAGCCACCACCUGGCUUUGUGGUCUGUUAUGCCCGGCCUAGUGUCCAGGGUGGUGACAUUUAUUUGAACAAAGACCAGUCUCCACCACCAAAGUCAUGGCUCUGCUGUUGCUUCCAGAACCAAAGAAAGGCUGGCUUCUGGGCUGGGCGUGGUGAUUCACGCCUGUAAUCCCAGCACUUUGGGAGGCCGAGACGGGCAGAUCACGAGGCCAGGAGUUCGAGACCAUCUUGGCUAACAUGGUGAAACCCUAUCUCUACUAAAAAUACAAAAAAAAUUAGCUGGGUGUGGUGGCACGUGCCUGUAAUCUCAGCAACUCAGGAGGCUGAGGCAGGAGAAUGGCUUCAACCUCGGAGGCGGAGGUUGCAGUGAGCCAAGAUCGCACCACUGCACCCCAGCGUGGGCAACAGAGCAAGACGCUGUCUCAAAAAAAAAAAAAAAAAAAAAAAAAAAAAGUCGGCUUCUCAAGCAGGUGGAAUCAGCGCUUGAUGAGACUCUGUAAUGACUGCAUAAUGAAGGCCCUCCCGGUCCUCCCCCAGCCGGUGCUCCUGUGAAACGGAGCCUGGGAAGCUCCCUUACUGGAGAAGUCUUUCGGCCGGAGAAUCGAUUCCUGCAGCCCCUUGUUUCAAUUCCGUGAGGCUUGAAGGGAGGGGCCGGCGGGCACCUGCAGACAAAUGCAUCCCAGGUGUAAGGAGGGUGCCCGUGGUCGCCCACGUGGCCAGCACAGGGCCGAGGGGGAUGAGGGCAGGGGCUGCCGCCUGCACUCAGCUCCAGGCCUGCCUCAGGGGAGCUGCAAAGCUACUCAUUCUCAUCAGCUUCAAGCUGACAUCCUUUUUGUCUUCAGUCCAGUAUUAGCUUAAAGGGAAAAGCGUUCUUGUUUGAAAUGUUAACUGGGUGCAUUCUGCUCGUUUUAAUUGUUUCAUUUGCCUAUUACGGCAGCCACAGCAGACGUGUUCCGAUUAGCAAAGAGGAAAAUCUAUCCACUGGAUCAAACUUGUAAAUGUGCAUCUCUCGGGGACUCUGUCCACAUCAGGCCUGUCCCUGGGGUCAUGGGGUGUGGGGAGGGGAGGCGAGGGGCCAGUGCUGGCCAGGUGGGACGAAGGCCACUGGGUCCGUUCCAGUCAUUGACUGCUCUCUUCUCUCCUCGUCCCUCUCACUCAGGCCAGGUCCUGACCCCCUUCCUGCUAAGGGCGGGUGGGCUUGGCAGCCUCUGCUGGGCACAGGGUGGUGGCCACAUCUGCUGCCUAAAAGGGCUGCCCCGGAGCAUCCCUGGGGGUGCUGUAUCUGCACCUCCAGCACUGCAGGCCCCUCACAGUGUCCCAGCCCUGUUGCCGGGUGGCUGCUCCCCUGCCCUUGGGGCUAGGGCAUCCAGGUCCUUUGGGGGCUCUGCUGGCGGUGCCCAGACCUGU
Molecule: long non-coding RNA, 2787 nt
Filed under: Homo sapiens (human)
Lineage: Eukaryota; Metazoa; Chordata; Mammalia; Primates; Hominidae
Description: non-protein coding lnc-STK32C-2:6
Source: RNAcentral